RNAcentral lists this long non-coding RNA (354 nucleotides) under Homo sapiens (human). RNAcentral's name for it is "non-protein coding lnc-SYNRG-5:1". The record is from RNAcentral. Lineage: Eukaryota; Metazoa; Chordata; Mammalia; Primates; Hominidae.
UAUUACCCUGGCCAGGCCUAGUCCUCCACUCCCUGCACAGGACUGAGAAGGCAAUGAAAGGUACAAACAUGUACCAUGAGGUCUUACUAACCAAAGUAGGGCUGCCCCUCCUGUCCUGACAGCCCCUUGGCCUCCCAGCAUGGGGAAGCGUGAGGAGUUGCCCAGCAGUGAGCAGCCCCCCUCACUCCUGGCCCCAUGAGCCGCAGCCACAGGCAGCAGAGGAGGGCUAAGGAGAGGAGGAAGCCUCAAGUCCAUUGUUUAUUACCCCGACUCUUAGCCCAGCACACAGUAGGCACUGGAGAGGAAUGAUUCCCAGUUUAACCACACUACGGUACCUUUUAUGAAGAAAAAUUA